This 253-nucleotide ribosomal RNA is filed under the name uncultured bacterium. Its description in RNAcentral is "partial 16S ribosomal RNA". It matches the Rfam family "Bacterial small subunit ribosomal RNA", at positions 524 to 776 of the family's 1533-position model. The record is from RNAcentral.
UACGUAGGGAGCAAGCGUUGUCCGGAAUCAUUGGGCGUAAAGCGCGCGUAGGCGGCCCUGUAAGUCCGCUGUGAAAGUCAAAGGCUCAACCUUUGAAUGUCAGCGGAUACUGCAGGGCUAGAGUCCUGGAGAGGAAGGUGGAAUGCUUGGUGUAGAGGUGAAAUUCGUAGAUAUCAAGCGGAACACCGGUGGCGAAGGCGGGUCUCUGGACAGUUCCUGACGCUGAGGCACGAAGGCCAGGGGAGCAAACGGG